UAGGGUGCAAGUCCCGAAUGGCGAAGGCAACAGUAGNCUCCGGUCUGAGGAACACGAACCUCAUAUGAGGCUAGCGAUAGUUGGGUGAGCCUGCAAGACAAGGCAAAGCCCUUGUUGCCAAAGGCUAUCGAGAGUAAAUGAGGCAGAUGGAUGGAGGGAAAGACAGCGCU
Tumebacillus flagellatus is the source of this 170-nucleotide non-coding RNA. The record is from Rfam. Lineage: Bacteria; Bacillati; Bacillota; Bacilli; Caryophanales; Alicyclobacillaceae.